AGACUAUUGCUCAAAUUAUAAUUUAAAUUACAACUCAUAUUACAUGAGAGUAUAACUGAUAUGUACAAUCAUAUAUAUAUACUGAGACCUAUUGACAUUAAUGCUGAUAUGGCACUGCUCAGAUUUUUUGUAACCCUCUCAAAUAUUCAAGGGACGUCAAACUUCCAUCCUGGGAUAAAGACUGCCUUCACUCGAGCUCUGUGGCUCCAAAGAAGAAAAUAUAAAUUAAACCCCUACAAUGCGACUGCGGAGGCUCGAACCCCUUCCCUCACAUAUGUAAGGGAGUGGUUUUGGUUACC
RNAcentral lists this long non-coding RNA (299 nucleotides) under Citrus maxima (pomelo). Its description in RNAcentral is "long non-coding RNA (CMAX_LNC002834)". Lineage: Eukaryota; Viridiplantae; Streptophyta; Magnoliopsida; Sapindales; Rutaceae. The record is from RNAcentral.